Molecule: long non-coding RNA, 279 nt
Filed under: Zea mays
Lineage: Eukaryota; Viridiplantae; Streptophyta; Magnoliopsida; Poales; Poaceae
Description: long non-coding RNA (ZMAY_LNC003032)
Source: RNAcentral
CGUGCACGUCGCUGACCCCAUCCGAUGGCCCAAUUCACCCUGGAGGCUUCUCCAGGUAAACGAACCAAGCUCCAUAACUAUCAAAGUUGAUGAUUUGCUUGCGGCAAUGCAUGCUGAUGAUUUGUGUGUGUGCCGGGGACAGGUCGCCUGGGAUGAGCCGGACCUGUUACAGAACGUGAAGAGGGUGAGCCCAUGGCUGGUUGAGCUGGUGUCGAACAUGCCGGUCAUCCAUCACCUCACAGCCACGCCCUUCUCGCCGCCCAGGAAGAAGCUGUGCGU